GUGUACUAUCUUAUGUAUCUGAUGCUUUUUCCUAUAUUAAAAAUAUUUAUAUAAAGAUAGAGAGAUUUCAGGAUAGUUUUCAAGUUGCGAAGGAAAAAGUCGCUUAAGAAUAAUGGGAUGCUCCUGAUAGAAUUCCUUAUUUCCUAGUAGACUUGGAGAUACAUUCUUGUCAUGAGAUAGGUUAGGUGGCUUAAAACAACUUCCCUUUCACCCCCCCCCCAAAAAAAACAGGUCAGACAUGUCUACUAUACCUAGAAAUUUCAAAGAGAUCAGGCUUCCUUGAGGAUUAGAAAGUGAAAUACAAAAACACGCUGCUGUUUCUUACCCAAAACUCUAAUUAAUUCACCUGUAUUGCACAGUAAUCAACUGUUAUCCUUUAGUACCCAAGGCUAGUCGCUAGCAUGUUAUUUAAGUAACACAAUAAUUAUGGGGUUUCUGUCAUAUCUGGAAAGUACUGCUGUAUUUUGGGAACGUCUUUUUGGGUUUGUCAGUGAGAAUGUGUUUGUAAAUAAUGAGAACAGAAACUAAGCUUCCUGGCUGUCUUGUAAAGACAGAAGGGGUGGUUGUGCUUUUGAGCUGAGUGAGAGCUUGCCCUUUUCCUCCUCUGUCUUCUCUAACUUGUUGCAUGAAGGUAUUUAUUCGAGGAUAUUUGACCAGUGUAUGAUCUGAGCAUAGGUCAUGUCUCUGUGUUGCUUGUAUCUCUAGGAAUCUGGAAUAGUUAGGCUUUGAACCUGGCUACCCACUUUCAGAGAUUUUCUAAGAUGUGAAACAAGGAACUAGCAUUUGGCAGAUUUAAAAAAAAAAAAAAAAAACUAUUAGAGCAGACUCAGUUUUGAGAAAUUUUAUGAUGGAAUUUUUGUCAUUUGGGUGUUGAAAUUAUUAUCACUUUUCUUUUUAUCAUUUUUAACCGGUUGAAGUUGUUUAGUGUCAGAUGGUACAGGAACCCUCUAAAAAGAAAUAUGACACCAUUGACUUACUCUUUAAUACUAAACUUUGGGGGGGCAAAAUAGUUGAAUUGGGAGGCUUUCUUAAAGUUUAAGAAUUCAGAAAAUUAUUGCAUAAAAGUUUAUAAACUUCUACAAAGAUAGGUGAAGUGUCCACAGCUGUUUGUUCUAGUUAACCAGUGUACUUUUACAUACUGAAAUAUUUAUUAAUUUUUUCAUUCACCAAACCUACUCUUAACUAAAAGUAAGGAUUCAAUAUAUAUCACAAAUAUCAAAAUAUAGUUUAGAAAGAUUACCAUUUUUCAAAAUGUCAAAUUACUGUAUUAAUGAAACGUAACACUGCAAAAAGUGUUAAACUCUAAAAGAAAAAAAACUAAUUUAUUUUUGAAUGUCAUUCUUAACUUUAAUAAACUCCAAUGUGCUUUUAAAAUGCUAAAUUAUGUAGUGUUUCCAGUCCUAGCCCUACAGAUAGAAAAGGGGAAUUAAAUGCCCAAAGCCUGAACUUACAAUUCUCAUUCUUACAUUUCCUCAAACUCUCACUCAUCCAAAAUCUGCCACACUCUAGAGCCACAAACAGGAAGCAAUGAUGCAGACCAAGCCAUAAUCCCACCCUGCUUCAGCCAACUUCAAAUAUUCUGUAGAGAAACGUGUGCUCGGAGCACAUGCUUCUCUUAGAAGUGAGGCUUGGGAACAUAUUCCUCUACCUAUAUGGUACUCGUCCCCUCCCCCCACCCUAGGUUCCUAAACCUUUUCAGGGAGCCACCACUUGCUCCUUAGAUCAAACAAUAGGGUUAGACAAGUCAAAUGUUGCAAAAUAAAAUAUCCCGGAAAGAAAGCCCCGGAAAAAAGCAUGUUCUUUUCAUCUUUUUCUUUCCUACUUUUGGAGAUACUCUUUCCUGUGAUGAAGAAGGCAAACCGUAUUUAACACAGCACACAGAUCAACUUAGGAAAGGUUUCAAAUUCUCACUGCAGCGCAUCUUGAGCAUUGAGAGCUUUUGUCUUGUUUAUUGUUUUACAUGUCUUGUUAUUUAAGGGACUCUUCGUCCAUCUCAUCUUUCCUAACCUUCAUUCAAUUUGCAUAAGCAAAACUCAAAGUACUGUAACUGAUAUUAGAAAAUUCUCCCUGUGUUUUGUGAAGACGUAUUGUGCUGAAAUCAAUAAGACUGUUUAAAAUUCAAAGACCUGCAAAUCGUUCUGUUUGUCCUUUGAUAGGGCCUGUGCUGAUUAAAAUGCUACCAAGAAAGCUUAAUUGCUGCACUAAUUAAGAAGUCUUUAAUUUCUUUCCUAGGAUAUCGUUUGAAGCUUAGCUUGUACAGUUCAGGGAAGGUAUUUUCUUCCCUCCUUCUGCCCUCUCUGGCCCCUCCCCUUCUCUCCCCUCCCCCUCCUUCCCCCAUUUGAGGAAACCGGUAAGAAUGGGAACUAAUAAAAAGAAUGGUCUCAUCAUCUCUUACUUAACAAAAAUCGGCACAGGAUACAGAGUUCAGCGCAGUAUGAAAUGCAGUUUUGAGAAGAGCUGUAAGCUUUGCAGGAGACAGUGAGAAAAUACAAAGUAGCUGUGGCAGCUAAAGUCUCGGUGAUUACCUGAAUGACAACAGGCACUUUAGUGAUGAUGAGGGCAUCCUAUUUGGUUAAAAGGCUCAGUGGCGAAUAGGGACACAUAAAAACAUACUUUCACAACCUGUGGUUUCAAAAGGGAAGAAUAAAUGUGUAAAAAAGAUGGACUUGUAGUUGGGAAUUGGUAAGUAUCAUUUUAUUUGAGUAUAAAAGGGUAUAUCUGUGGGGAUUUAUUUUUGACCCUCUUUUAUAACUCAGGGAGGCACAGAACUGUAUUACAUCUAUUCCGUUCUUUUCUAUUGAUAUGUUGUCUUCAGGGAUUUCUCAAGUGGGGAAACUGACUAAAUGAUUUCACAAAGCUUUCUCUGUAAUCAAUAGUCAUUUUUUUUAGAUUUAUUCAUGUUGCAUUAUAAUUCUGGUAAAUGACUGCAAAGAAGAGAUUAUAAGAAAGAUACAAAUAUUGACAGAUUUAGGAUAAGUCAUGUCUUCAGUUUCUUAUGGCAACUGGUACAGUGUUUUUUAAAAUUGAAAAUCAAUUAUUUCUAACAAAAUAAGAAAAUAUAGAGUAACUCAAAGACAACGUAUAUCUGAAUACAUUCCUUUAAUAUCUCACAAUGUUCGGAAAGCUUUGCAUUUAUUGCUUUUUUAUGGUAUUUCUAAAUGAAAGAGAAGCAAUGUAGGCAUAUAUGAAAAGGCAUACACCAGGAGGGCAGCAUGAAAGGUGCUUCAUUAUAAUUUGAUUCUUUCAAUUUUUCGCAAGGUCCAUUAGAAGCAUGUAUGUUAGAAAUUACAAAUGUAUGCUAUAGAUCUAUACUGGAUUCCUUACAGAGGCAGGACAAGGAGAAAACCUGCUUAAUAGAUUCCAAGGCAGAUUUACCAUUCCAAGCACGACGUCACUCUAAUUAUGUUUACUCUAAUUGAAAGCAAGGUUUUUUUGGAAUCUGAAAUUACUUUCAGAUUUUUUUUUUUAAAAUAAUGCAAGUGGAUCAAAUGUUGAUCACAAGCAUUUCAAUCUUUCAAAAUGUAUUGGAAAAUUAAAUGAAAAGUAGAGUUUGGUACAAACAAUGCCCCAGGGCAAAAAACAACUAACACUAGAUUUUCCAGUCCAGCCAUAACACAAAUCAAUUGGAGCACACUUCUAUGGCCAGACUGCCAGAUUGUUAUGACUGCUAAUUCACUCAAUCAAAGAGUGCAUUAGCACACCCGGCACAAACAGCUUUAACAAUGGAGUGCGUUUCUCAACAAUCCUAAGAUACACCACAAUGGCUAAGUAAAGGAGACCAUUUUUACAUCUGUGUAUUUACUAAUGGACCAGUUUCCUUAAUAGAAAUAAUAAAAAAAGAAGAUAAACUUCAGCCAUGGGUUUAUUAAAGAGCUAUCAGAGUUUGGCAAAUCUAGAAAGAUACCAGAGUACCAGUAGUUCACUGACUUUGUUAAAUGUUUCUCAGGAGAGAGUCCAAAAUUGAUGUUUGCAUUUCAGUAGUAAAUCAUUGAAGAUGGAGAAAUUAUGCCAAGUAACUCUCUCAAGCCUUUUUAACUCAGACACACAGCCUUGCCAAUCAGCCCCUCAAAAAACCUUCACUACCUGAAGCACAAACUUCCGAACUUUUACAGUUUCACUCUUUUUCCUCCCCAUUUUCAUCACUCUGCCUGACUUUUGGUGGCUUUCAUAUCCCUAGUCUCCCUUUCUGUUCAAAUUCUCUGCCUCUGCUUAAGAACCAGGAAUGGGAUUCUUAUCUUACUGUGGCACUCUCUAAUGAAAAGCAGACAAUUUGCUGGUGAAUUACCCAAAAGACAGAAGGUGGGAAGCUGAAUAGAAUUAUACCCUGUGACUUUACGUACCGAUUUUGAUACUUAAUGAUGAAAUGGUUAAAAUGAUUAUAAAUAGCACUUGCUAUUUUAUUAACUACAGGGAAAUGCAGACUUAGUCCACAAGCUUCUUGAAUGGACAUGGUAAUCAUCUGUUUGCAUUAGUGUAGAUCCAAUUCCAAAUAAUUCAUUAGGAGAACACCAUUCCUCCCUUGCUCCUUUUAAGCCCUUUCUGCUUGUUCAGAAUAAAGGUCCCAAGUGUUAGAAACUACUUUUCUGGCUAUGCAGCAGGCAAUAAGAAAUGUCCACACUCAGGUGUGGGAAGAGAUGGCAGUGGCAAGAAGAAAAGCAAAUGAACAAAAAAUCAUCGUGCAAUUUUUUUUUCAGCUUCUAAACUGCAUCACUCCCAGGGUAACUAGUCAAUUCUUUGUGAUGAAUUAGUUAUACUUUCCUGUAAGUACCCUCUUCCAGGUAAGUGUCCUCUAUUCCAUCUGUAGGGUGGUAUGAAAGGCUACCCAGCCAAAUAAUUCUUACAAUAGCAAGCACAGUAAGAUCAUUGUACAGCUGAAUGGAAGCAGCAACAACAAUAAUAUAAAUUCAGCUUAUUUUUCUCCACCUCUUAAGUCAGGCCAUCAUCCUGAAAAUAAUGUAGGCUGGACUAUAUGAAGUUCAGACAAACAGAUAUUUAAAUCCCUCCUUUCCCACUAGAUAUUGGGCCUUUAAUCGUACCUUUUCAUAUAUGUUUUCUAAUUGUUGGGCUUUUUUCUCCUUAAAUAAACAAGAUCUGUAUUAUGGGAUGUAAAUUACUUAAAAGAUAAGUAGUUAGGAAUAUUAUGAGAAGAGAACAUUUUAUCUACUAUAGUGCAAAGAUAAACUUAAUAUUGAGGCAUAAAUUAUAGUAUACUUUUAUCACAAUAGAAGAAAAUUGCUUGACUGUGUAAGUUUCUUUUUUUAGUCGUUUUACUUUAUUUUCUUAGCCUUUUUUCCCCUUUUGGUGGCUUUAUGAAAUCAAAGAAGGGGUUGUCAACCAACAGAUAGCCUAUAAAAUUGUUUUAUUUCAAGACAGGACUUCCAAGGAUUUCUAAAAAGAAUAAACUGUUUAUUUAUUUAUUACUUUUCAGAACAAAGAGAUGUUUUAAAAGUUGAAAGGACAACAAUUGCUACCUCCUGGAAGCCUGAUCUUGUAUGUCAAGUUUCAGCCCAGAGCAAAUUUUUACAACAAGUUAUAAACCCCUGUAACAGAGGGUUUAUUAUAAUGGAAGUGCUGACACAAUCUUAACUAUAGUGUUGUAAACGGCUAUGCUAUAAUAUCCAUUAAGCAGAAAGAAAAAUAAGCUGGCUGAUCAAUAAUUUAUACAAAGAGUACCAACUGCAGACAUAAUAACUGUAAUGUUUGCAAAGCAAUCUCUCUGCUCUCCAGGCUUAACAGUGAACUCAAACUAGCAACGCUGUUAAUUUCCAACUCCUACAGAUAAGAAUACAAACAAAUUACUUAAAAUUAUAUUUUGCUCAACAUUUAGCAUGCCUCAAUGGGAUAAAAUAAAAUUUAAUUAUGAUGCAACUUGUGCCGGAUGCAAGGCUGCUUUGUUUUCCAGCACAUUUUAUUAUGAGAAGACGUUCAUUUGGAACAUCAAUUAUGGGGAAAUAGUAUGUUUCAAUGAGUUUACUUGGGUCAGUCAGGUUCAUCUAAGAGUUAUUCAGACAUGGAAACUGAUUGACAAUGCUUAACUUCAAAGAAAGUUCGAGUUUAGAGAGGCACAAGCUGAAACACAAUACUGCAUGCCCUGAUCCAAGUUAACUGUCAGUAAAAACACACCUUGCCAUUAGAGUUAAUGGGGAAAAAAGUCAUUGGUUUGGAAAUGUGGUCAUCAUUAGUAGCCAGUGAAUGUGGGAGUGCUUUUUCAAUGGCAUGCCUUGUUUUUUUGUGGGAACAUUGUGUGACAUUUCUACCUAUUAGACCUGAACCACUGAAUGUGAGCAUUGUUUUCAUUUCUAUAAAAUUAAUUUGUCUAUAUUUUUGUUGACAUCAGUAUAUAUCUAGUAAUUGCUUCUUAAAGUAUCUGAAUAUGGACAUGUUAUGUUGAUGACUUCAUUUUUAAUGGGCGGCUUUUAAGACAGAAGUACCUUUGACAGGAAUUUGAAAAGUUAAAUAGGAGAAUUCACAAUUCCAAACUGUUCCAGAUACACCACUGGAAGUAGGAACAGACUGAAGGUUCUUGAGGCUCACAUCCCUGCUAGUCUUUUUCCCUGUUCAUUUCCUGGUGGUGGAAUUAAAGGGUAGGGGGGAUGUGGAGCCCAACAGAAUGAAGAGACUUUGCUAUCAAAGCUGUAAAAUGGUGUAUUACCCUGUGAGCAACUGCGCUUGGAAAGGAACCAGUAAUUUAUAUGAGAAAUGUUUAAGAUUGCCUGCUCACCCAGUGAUCCAUGCCAGGUCAGUUUCAGUAAUGCUAGAAAACAAAAGGAGGUGCAGAUCACUGGAAAAGAGACACCUUCCUUGCCUUAAGAGCUUGUGAAGGGAAGCACUAAAAUGUCCUUUUCUCAAAUGAACUGAUCAUUACCAUUUAAAAUCCUGAGGGCUAUGAGACUGGGGAGGGGAGAAAUAAUUUUUCUUUUGAUUUAGCAGGGCUCUGAAAUGCUGGCAUUAAGGGGGAGGCAUUUUGUUGUGAUUGUAUCAUGGUCCUAUGCUUCAGUAAAGAUUAAAUCUUGAAAUUGAGGAUAUAUUUUGAAACAAUGAAAUGGGGGGGAAAGGUGGGCACAAUGGCUCUCUGAAUUCAUUUGGCCACUUUAAACUUAGACACUAACUGCCCUAAAAAAUUACCAGUACAAAUAGUAAUGAAACUUUCUAAUAACGUCUUUGCCAGACUCUGUGAAUAGAUUUUUCUCAGACCAACUCCUCACCCCUUUAAUUUUCAUGAGGAAUAUGAGACAUUGCCAGGGUGGUGAGGUAGGAAUGGACAUCUUCUGAGACCCCUUUGCUUCUAGUACAGGUCUAAGUAUACCAGAGGCCCCCUCUUUGUUAAAUGGACACAUGUUUCCUUACAUGCCUAAAUUAAUUUUAGUUUUUAGCUUUAUUUCAUCUUUAUGUCUAAACAUGUAUAUUCCUCAUGUAAUUCAGAUCUAUCAUUUCCUCUCUGGUUCAAAAUUCAGCAUAUCUCAGAAUCCUUGCUGGCUUUACAGCUGGUUUUCUCCUACCAUGAGCUCCAGGGAUUGAACUCAUAUUGUUAGGCUUGCAGGCCAAGUUCCUCCCCCAAAGGAGCUAGCCAGCUAAGCUGCCAUUGUUGCUUCAUAUCUGCAUUAUAGCGAUUUUCCCCUGGUAUUCUGACAGGGAAAACGAUUAUUUGACAUUUUUUUUUUUUUUUUUUUUUUUUUUUUUUUUUUUUUUUUGGUUUUUCGAGACAGGGUUUCUCUGUGUAGCUUUGCGCCUUUCCUGGAACUCGCUUUGGAGACCAGGCUGGCCUCGAACUCACAGAGAUCCGCCUGGCUCUGCCUCCCGAGUGCUGGGAUUAAAGGCGUGCGCCACCACCGCCCGGCUUAUUUUACAUUUUUACACUUACUGAUAUGCUUCAUUUCAGGGGGUCUUAGCCAAGUUUACUCAUGGUAGAUAUCUAGUACAGUGCUAAGAACUUGAGUAUUGCUCAAUAAAUGUCACCUGGGUAAUUAAAACAGCGUUUUCCAUGUGUUGCCUUCCAUCUCCUUAGCCACCAAAUGACACAAACUGCUUGUUCUUGAUAUCAUGCAUGGUCUCAUCCAGACUGGACACACCAGAAACAAAUGCUUAUCCAGUUCUCUUGUCCUCUACAAGUAAUCUGGGAAAAAAAAAUCUUAAAGUAAAAUGUGGAGAUACUUUGAUACCCAAGCUGGGUAUCAAAGAUCUGAAAAAUAGAAUCUUAGGCCAGUAAGCAGGACUUCCUAGGAUCCGUGCAGAAAGAACUGUCUUUUCUAUGUCAUCAGAAAAGAGUCUUCACGAAGACUGAAAACAGGAGUUCAUCCUGCUGUCACCUGAGACCAUGGGGUAGAUUCUUGGGUGCAACUUUACCUCCCAGACGUGAGCACACAAAGGGUAUAUGCAAAGAGGGAAGCUGCAAAGUAAGGGAGACUUGAAUGGCCUGUGUCUUCAAAGAAGUCUUGAGCUCCGGAUACAUAGUGCAUGAAGUCACGGAACACCAGGGAAUGUCAGCAAGGAGGCAGAACUGCAGGACAAGGGACAUUCUAGGUAUUCUCUUUUCAGCUGAGCAAGAGAAUGGGUCACCUUCUCCAAGACACAAUUUGACUGACUUGGAAAUCUGUCUGAUUACAGCAUUAGGACAAACUUCAGCCUGUUGUAAACGAUGAGUUCUUUUGUUUUUGUUUUUGUUUUUUUCAUAUGAGUGCAUUGAUGGACAAAUUAGCCAAAGUCAGUAUUAAAGAAGAAAUCUACUUUCUAGCAGUUGCUGGUAAGAAAUCCAAAGCUUUUGCUUAAUACAACAUUUUUUUAAAAGGAACUAGCAACAAACUGAUUUUGGUAACUAGGGUGCGUUUACACUAACUUGUUUGUAGUGUAUGUCAAGUCAAGGACAGAACAAACAUACUCAAAUACUCUAGUCCAGUAUUAGCAACUGGACAUUUCAUUGGUUCUGAAAGUAAAAUAUUAACUUAAAAUAUAGAAUUAACAAUAUAUGAUUGAUGAGCUUUGUUGGAAAUAUGAUGUGUUAGGUGGCAUGUCUAACAAACGAGCAGUAUUUCACUUGAAAAUAUAAAGAGAAAAAUUAGAUCUUCUUUUUUUAUACCUUGCUACUCAAAAAUAACUAUCCUUAAUAUUUUGAUUUUAUUAUCCAAAAUAGUUUCCUAAAAGCUUUCACUAUUUGUCAGAUUUCCUAAGAAGCCACAUAAUCAGGAACUGUUAAGACCAAUAUACUAAAAAUUAUUUGUACAUAUUGGACUUCUAUGUGUUAUAAUUAGCCGUCACACAAUGCAAACCAUUCUAAAAUCAACAUCAAACUACUGCUACACUUGACGCCCUUUUGAUGUAUAUAGUGCUUACUUUGUGAUGAUACAUUUUAAGGCAACAUUUUCCGUGGAAUGGUACUCUUGUUCUCACAGCAAAAUGAUCUUUUAUUUUAACAGUAUGAUCUAAAAUAAGAUAAUAAAAUUUCACUUGAUGAUUCAGCUGUACACAAAUGGCCUCAAGGAACUGUUUUAUAUAUGUAUACAAGCUCAUGUGCCAAUUUUUAGAAUUCUUUAACAUUUACUUAGAAUUAGUCUAUGAUUACUGUGUUUUUGGUGGCUAAAAAACAUAUUUAUUGUUCCUAUCUAAGUAACUCUGUCCAAAAGCACUUACUAACCAUAACAACACAACAAAGAUUGGUUACGUCAACACUGUACUUUAUCAUUGGCCUUUGUUUUCUAAUACAAUGCUUUAAAAAUAUCCUCGGCUGUAUAGAGGACAUUGUUGCAAAAAGGCAGCUCAAAACUUGUCCUUCUCUUCUCUUUCAUUGAUCUGUUGCCUCUUAGGCAAUAUGAACAGCUGUCUCCAGCUCACCCACAAGCAAGCUGAACAUAAUAAUAAGGUCAUGUUAGUAUCCUGUAUCUAGCAAUGAUUGGACAGAGGAUGCCAGCUCUUUUUCAUUAAAGAUAAGGUAACAAAGACACCCGAAACUGGGUCCUGAAAACAGACGAAAUUGCUGCCUUAAAGGUUCUUGUUCUGGUACCCACUGAGAGUCUCUUUCACAUGGGUUUCCACUAAGGUGAAGGUGCCCUCUGUAGGAGACUCCCAGUAAAUGCUGCUGUUUUACAUUUAGGUGACAUCAGGCCCGUUUCCCCCCUCCCUUCCAGCUUACAAAUAAAUGAAUAAUCACAGAACUCUGCAAGAGCACAAGUUUAAAUUCUAUAAAUCUAAACACGAAACACUAUCGAGUCUAAAAUCAGCUAUGUAAAUCUCGUGAAUUUUCAAAGUAAGCAACUCUGAACACUGAGAAAGCUGCUCAGCACGUUAUAAUUUGCUAUUUACUGGAUAUAAUUGUGGAAUGCAAUAAGGUGGGUUUUGUAAAUUCAGAGGUGUUGUGAGAAACAGAAAGACAGGAUGUCCGGACAUAUCCCAGUGAACACUGUAUCUACACAGAAGCAGCAUCCACACACUGAAAGAUACACACUGUCCAAUAAAUACACCUCCCCAAAAGGUCUCUUCUAUUCUUACAAAGGUUACCAUAAUGCAGAUUCAUUAUCAGUCCCACUGGGUAGUAUAUAGCUUGGUAAGAAAUUGCUUUUGUUAGCAUGCUCAUGGAAAAAGAUUAGCUAUUUCAUCAGAUCUCUUGGGGCGAUUUGAAAAUUUGGGGAUUCUCUCUGUAAUUUAAAAUGGAAGUUAAAGCCAAUCUGAAUAGACUAGGGAAAAAUCUCACAAAUUAAACCUCUCCAUCUGGAAGUUUCUUCAUCAUUCACUGCGAAAAUACAAAACUCAAGUGACAUUUGUGCCAAGCAGUAGAGAUUUCAUCAGGGUUGAUAAAAUUGUAUAUAUAUAUAUAUAUAUAUAUAUAUAUAUAUAUAUCCAGGUUUAAUAAUUAGAGAUUUUCUUUGCAAAAAAAACUUAAAAGUACUGUAGACUGCUUAGUGGUGUUUCAGACUUGAUUUUGGUCUGUAUUAACUUUGCAUGUUAUGUUCACCCCUGAUGCAUUUAUGUCCAUUUUUAUGACUAUGACUUGGGCCACUAUGGAAUGUAUACAUGAGAGUCUAGUCUUGUCUGUAUUGGAAGUUAGGGUGUAUUCAAGAAGACACAGAGGUGAAAGAGAGGGGAACAGUUGCCACUUUCUAGUAUAUAAUUGAAUUUAUUCUGAACUAUCAGCUCAAACAUCCCUUUCUCUUUAAGUCUGUGUCUGCAUGGUACCAGAACCAGGUUAUCAACGGCACUAUUUACAGAGUGGCUACUAUUUAUGUUGGGCGCUUCCUCUGGAUUAUUCACUUAAUCCUCUUGAGAAAGAUAAUUAUCCUUUUUUUUUCCUUUUUCAUUCGUGUGUAUGUGUGUGUGUGUGUGUGUGUGUGUGUGUGUGUGUGUGUGUGUUCUACUGUGUGAAUGGACCUGUGUGUGGGGGUGUACAAAGAGAAUUGAACUCGAUUUGGAGAGUCUUCCUCUGUCGAUAGCCACUUUGUUCUCUGAGGAAGGAUUUCUCAGUUGGCUCCAGAGCACUGAUAAGGCUAGUCUGGCUAGUCAGCUUUCCCUGGAGAUCUACUGUGUCUGACUUCCAAGCACUGGGAAUACGGGGAAUGCAGGCAGGUCACAUUGUCCAUCCAGCAUUUAUUGGGUUCGGGGGAUUCAAAUUCAAGUUCCAACAUUUACUAUGUGUAUAAAUGUUCUAACUGCUGAGCCACCUUUCCCAACCUAGUUAUCCAACACACACACACACACACACACACACACACACACACACACACAGAGAGAGAGAGAGAGAGAGAGAGAGAGAGAGAGAGAGAGAGAGAGAGAGAGAGACAGACAGACAGACAGACAGACAGACAGAUAGACAGACAGACACAGAGACACAGAGACAGAGACACAGAGAGAAGAAAGUGGUACUUAGGAGGUUAAAACCUUUGCUUAUCUACACCAGGAUCUCUGUUCCUGUCCACUAUGAAAGGCUCCCUUCUGAUGUCACUUACUUUUCCACCUAUCUGUCAUUCACAUAAUCAAAGCAGUUGUGAUCCUGUCUUUCUACCAGAGCUGUCUGCCGAAUCCCCAGCCAGUACUAACUCAGCAAUCUGCUAUCCUACUGGAUGACUGAACAUUGCUAAAGACUCUCCCACAGUGAUGCCUAUUGAUAUCCUUCAUUACUCAUGACUCGGACUUGUAAGCCUUAAAAUUUAAGCUAGUUUAUCCAGAAAGGGGCCUGAAUAAGCUCACAUCAUCAUUUUAAUGGAAGGUUAGGGCUCCAGUUAGUCUCAAGGGCGACUGAGACCAGAGAUUCAGACACCCCAUCAAAUCAGCUCUGAUCUCAGAAGACACACGUGUCAGGGUGUCUUCAGUUUCUCUGUCUGGAUUAUGCACAGCUAGAUUUAUGCUUCUAGCAUCAGUCAUGCUCAAUUCUUUUAAUUCCAGCACCAGAGAUACACUGUGCUCUGCCUCCUUGAUACUCAAGUUAGGAACCAAAGGGAAAGCACUCUCUGGGUUACCUUGAGACAAACGUUCAUUUGUAGAUGAAGAAACUAGACAAGAAGAAUAUCAAGUACUGAGUGCUGGUAUUGAAGGCAUGGGCCAUCACUGCCCUCAGGUGCUGAGAAUGAAUGUGUGGGAUGAGAUGUAACAUGCAUGGAGUUUAAAACCUAGUGUGCAUAUGACCUAAAAAAGAGUUACCUUUCUCUUCCUCGGUUUAUUUACUACAAAAAGAGACAGUAGGUGUAUCUAAUUUGCUGCAUUCUCCUGAUGGCUAAAUGAGCUACUAUGUGGAACUUAGAAUAACAGUUCCCUCCUAUUGUUAAUAAUAAUUAUAUGGGGCUUUAGGAUUGGUCCAGCUUGACUCAGAAUCUCAAAGCUUCAAUUCUAUGGCCAAUGGGGCAGAGUAAUUUGAAGAUUAGGUUUGAGGGAUAGUCUUGACAUCUAGGUCUCAGGAAUUAUUCAGGAGGGAAAUGCUUUUACAGAUGAAAGAAUGAAGUAUGCUACCAAGACAAAUCAAUGGAUGUCUGUUAUACAGAAAUCAAAAGUGCUGGAGUGCAGACCAAGAAUGAAGUCUGGUGAGAAUACUGAGUGCCUGUGAGAAAAAUUAAAAAAAAUAAAAAACAAGAGUCUUGUGACCUCAGUUUCUUCAAAUCACAGUACUGUUCUUGAAAUGUGUCAUCUCAUGGGGAUGUUGAUGAUCCUCUCAGGGGUAGCAGAUACGAGUAAGUUUACUUCUGCUGUUAUUCAUAUACCUCUACGGGUAAAAACAUGUUCUGCAGUGUGUGACUUGUCCUUACGAUUUUAGUCAGGUGAUUGUUCUUAACCCUCAGAAUAUAAAUUGUCCGAUGCACUAAAUAAAGUUGACUAAUUGCGUGAGACUUAGUCCUCCUCAUUUUUAGGCCCCUCUCUCCCAGAUUUACACCACAAACUAGAGAGGCAAACAAAAAGUAUACAACCUCCAAUGUAAGUAGAGGGUUACUAAACAGUAUUUUCCCUUCACGUUAUCAAUGAGGUCCAUGUCUUUCUUCCUUCACUGAUGAUUCUAUCCUGUCUUAUAUUUUUCACCAUGUGUUUGUGUGUUUGUGAUGUGCAUGUUUACAAGCAUACGUGUGUGUGUGUGUGUGUGUGUGUGUGUGUGUGAGAGAGAGAGAGAGAGAGAGAGAGAGAGAGAGACAGAGAGAGAGAGAGACAGAGAGAGAGAGAGAAAGAGACAGAGAGAGCGAAAGAGAGAGAGACAGAGAGACAGAGAGAGACAGAGAGAGAGAGAGAGACAGACAGAGAGAGAGAGAGAGAGAGAGAGAGAGAGAGAGAGAGAGAGAGAGAGAGAGAGAGAGAGAGUCUGUGUACACACACGAAAUGUGGGUGGAGGAUGGACACUGAGGUCAGGAAUCUUCUAUCGUUUUCCGCCAUACUCAUUGCGGCAGGUGCUCUCGGUUCAACCCAGAGCUUUCCGAUACACCUACCCUAGCUAGCCAGCCUGUUCUGGGAAUCACUUGUUUCUACAUUUGGAGCUCUGGAAUUCUGUUUGGCUCUAGGGACAGGCCCCAUGCAUGUGCAACAAGCAUUCUAACCACCACGCCAUCUCCCACAGCCUUCUCAGAGAUAACUCUACAACUUCAAGUGUGAGGUAUACAUCCUCAAGUCUGCAUUCUGUAUUGACUCUCCCAUCAGAAGAGGAACGUUAAGAUCCUCAGGUCCCUGCCGUUUCCUGUGAAAAACAACAUAAGAACAAAGAGAAGAAGGUCAUCUAUGAGGAAGAAUGUAAGCUCUCACUGGAAACCCGAUUAUCAGACACCUUGUUCUUGGACUUUCCAGCUGUUAGAAGAGUGAGAAAUAACUUUCUGUGGUUUAAAAGACCAGGUCUGUAGUACCAUCUCACAGCAGCCUUAGCACAUUAAUGCACUAAGGCAUAUACCUAGGGGUGGUCAUUUCGUGAUACUAGGGUCUAUAUGUCAAUUUUAUGGGGUCAGAAGAAAUUGAUUUUCAAAUUAUUAUAUGAACUUAUAUUGCAAUAGUUGUCCCACAUCCUUUCUAACAUCUGAUAUUACAACAUUUUAAAAUAUUUCCUAAUUAAGUAGUUAUGAACUAGGACCCAACCACUGUUUUAAUUUAUAUUUUAUUAUUAAGUUUACUGAGAAUAUUUCCAUAUGUAUUUGCCCAUUAGAAUAUUUUGCCUAUGACAAAUUUUAGCAUUUGUGCUUUCAUUUUGUUGUAUGAAUAUAAGUAACAACUCAGAUUUUAUUAUAUUGUCCAAUUCUCAUCUCAAAUUCACCAUCGUAUUGCCUCAGCCCUCUAACUGCUAGGAUUAAAGACAUAUUCCACCAUGUCUGGCAAAGUAUAAAUAUUCCAAAUGCUAAUGUCUUGGCAGUUAAGAAAUAUAUUCCCCCAGUCUGUGGCUUAUGUUUUCAUAUUUUUUGUGAUACAUUUUGAUGAAUAGAAGUUCUUAAUUUUAAUGUAGUCCAUUCUUAGUUUUCUUAAUAUCUCUUUUGGAGUCUUAGAAAUGUCUCUGCUAUAAGAACAUAUUAUUUCCUAGGUUUAAAAAAUUGUUUCAUGUACUCAUUUAAGCUUUCUGUACAUUAGGAAUUGAGAGAUUGGAACAUUAAAAGACUGAAUUGAAAAUUGAAGCAGAAAUGAAGAGCUAGGAGGAGAAAUGAAUCAAAAGAGUAGAGACAAGAGAUGUUAAUAAUUAUACUACACAGGUAUCUCCCAUAACAAAGAAUUAUUCAGAUGGAAACGUCACUAAACCUGAAACUAAGGCCUUUUUGGUAGUGUUUUUACAAAACCAACUUAGUUGGCAUCUGAAGUACAUCUUGGCUUCUAAAAAGGAAAGUACAAUCUAGGGUUGUGAGUGUGACUGGUUUCUGUGUUCUGUGUACUUCUUUUUGCUAACCUUGUUAGUUUUUGUGGUACAAAACUUUCAGAAUUUUACAGACUUUGACUACGUGAUUUAUCAUUAUUGAGAAAGCUGUGCUUAAAUCUUCUGGUAUGUAGAUUAGUGUAGCACUCCCUAUACUUCUGUCAGCUCUUGCUUUAAAUAAUUUGAGGUUAUAUUUUUAGGUGGCACAGAAUUAGAAUUCUUAUGUCUUUCAAGUGAAUUGAAGUGUUUAUCAUCUUUUAGAGACUAUCAUUUUUGCUAACACUAAGUAUUAAAAUGUUAAGUUUAUUUUGUCUCAUCUAUUUUUAGAAACAUUCUUGACAUCCUGUUUUAUUAUGUAUCUAUUGAUCUAUCGUAAGCCUUACCCUAUAUUUCUUUUGUCUUAUUAGUGCCACUGAAUUUUAGGGUGUAUCUUGUGAAUAGCAUGAGGUUCCAUUUGCUUGGAAUCCAGUUGGGUAUUCUUCAUGGCUUAAAAAGGUUAUUUAUUUCAACUACAUAUUUUUGUAUUUCUAUGUAUCAUCAACUAUUAUGAUUUUAUUGAUACUGUAUGUUUUAUAGUUUGGUGUCUCUAUAGUUUAUAUUACUUUACUUUGCCUAUAACACUUACAACUUCUUUUAAUCACCCCCUAACACUGCAAUGAAGACCAAAAGGCAUUUACUACUUCUAUGAUCCUUUCUACAUUCCCAAACAGCUCAACUGAAGGGGCCUAGACUUAACUUUUUCCUCAAUUAAUGAUUGCUUUCUUCAUGUAAAUCAUUAUAAUUGAUUCCUUAAUCAUUAUUUCACACUGAAAUUGGCUCACAAUUGCCCUCUUCAAUCCUAUUCUACUUCGUACCUGUUAUUUUGAUGUUUACACCAUUCAUUAAGAGUUUCUUAAAUUUUGGCAAAAGGUUGAGGUCAACAUUGUGUUUUUUGGUCCCUUAAUUCUGGGAGCAACAAUAUCUCCAAAGAGACUAGUUAACAUGAAAGAUUCUAUACAACUGGCAAGAUGCAGACAUGAACUAUGAGCAUUGUUCUAUAUGUUUUAUGAUUUUUGUCCUUGUAAGUAAACAGUAAAUGUGUGUAUAGGUAUAUACAAUAAAUAUUUUUGUAUAUGACGCACUUACAAACAUCUACCCACUAAUCUACUGAAAUAUUGUGAAUCUAUACAUGUGAAUUUAUUUCUACUUUCAAUAAAAUAAUAAUUAUAAUCAUUGUAAAUGAUUGAUUUUCUUUCUGUUUCUCAAAUAGUGAGAAAGCUAACUUCCAGCAAUCUCAGUAUAUUUAUUAACUGUCUAGUUCCUUGUGUGUGAGUAAUAUCCACAUAAGCUGUAACGUCAUUGCCCUUGACCAUUGGCUGCCUCCUUGGUUCUGAUA
Peromyscus californicus insignis is the source of this 16655-nucleotide long non-coding RNA. RefSeq lists it as uncharacterized. NCBI's taxonomy places the organism in Eukaryota, Metazoa, Chordata, Mammalia, Rodentia, Cricetidae. The transcript is spliced from 3 exons. The record is from RefSeq and is a predicted model, not a curated record.